GAUGAACGCUGGCGGCGUGCCUAACACAUGCAAGUCGAACGGAGUUGCGAGAGCUUGCUUUUGUAACUUAGUGGCGAACGGGUGAGUAAUGCGUGAGCAACCUGCCCCUCAGAGGGGGACAACAGUUGGAAACGACUGCUAAUACCGCAUAAUGUAUUUAGGAGGCAUCUCCUGGAUACCAAAGGAGAAAUCCGCUGAAGGAUGGGCUCACGUCUGAUUAGCUAGUUGGUGAGGUAACGGCUCACCAAGGCUGCGAUCAGUAGCCGGACUGAGAGGUUGAACGGCCACAUUGGGACUGAGAUACGGGCCCAGACUCCUACGGGAGGCAGCAGGUGGGGAAUAGUUGGGACAAGUGGGACGAAAGCCU
RNAcentral lists this ribosomal RNA (367 nucleotides) under uncultured bacterium. RNAcentral describes it as "bacterial SSU rRNA". It matches the Rfam family "Bacterial small subunit ribosomal RNA", at positions 28 to 384 of the family's 1533-position model. The record is from RNAcentral.